AUACCUUUAAAUCCUGGUCUGG
This 22-nucleotide microRNA is filed under the name Columba livia (rock pigeon). Its description in RNAcentral is "cli-miR-9623-3p". Lineage: Eukaryota; Metazoa; Chordata; Aves; Columbiformes; Columbidae. The record is from miRBase by way of RNAcentral.